RNAcentral lists this ribosomal RNA (302 nucleotides) under uncultured bacterium. RNAcentral describes it as "bacterial SSU rRNA". It matches the Rfam family "Bacterial small subunit ribosomal RNA", at positions 775 to 1067 of the family's 1533-position model. The record is from RNAcentral.
GGAUUAGAUACCCUGGUAGUCCACGCCGUAAACGAUGGGCACUAGAUGUUGGUUCUAUCUUAACGGGUAGGAUCGGUGUCGCAGCUAACGUAUUAAGUGCCCCGCCUGGGGAGUACGAUCGCAAGGUUGAAACUCAAAGGAAUUGACGGGGGCCCGCACAAGCGGUGGAGCAUGUGGUUUAAUUCGAUGCAACGCGCAGAACCUUACCGGGGCUUGAACUGCUAGUUAAAGCCUGUGAAAGCAGGUGUGCUCUUCGGAGCGAGCUAGUAGAGGUGCUGCAUGGCUGUCGUCAGCUCGUGUUG